UUGAUAAUGAUUCAAUUUAUGAAACAUUAGAAAUCAUUUCUAAUUUUUUCAUAAUGCUUUGAUCAAAGUCUUCCUGAAUCAUUAUUUGAUUGAAGCAAAUAGGAUGCGAUCUCCUCUUACUAGGAGCGAUCGUUUCCAUAUUGACCUACUCACAACCUUCAUAAGCAAUCCAUCAUAUCCGGAACAUCCCGUACAUGAUUAAAUCAUGAAUGAGUAUGAUCCAAAAUAUGGAUUCAUGCUUAUAAGGUUCUACGGCAGUCUCGGGUCAAAAGAUUUACAUGCACAAUUCCCACUAUAAGAAAAAAUCUAUUGACAUGUAGAUAAGACUCCAUCAGAUAUUCUUUAAUUGGAUCAAUUCAGUGAAUUCAUUCUCUAAUGAACACUUACAUCCUUAUAUUAGUGUCAUACACAAGUAACUGUGAGAUCAAUUACCCUCU
This 437-nucleotide long non-coding RNA is filed under the name Elaeis guineensis (African oil palm). RNAcentral describes it as "long non-coding RNA (EGUI_LNC038718)". The record is from RNAcentral. Lineage: Eukaryota; Viridiplantae; Streptophyta; Magnoliopsida; Arecales; Arecaceae.